Long non-coding RNA from Magallana angulata, 732 nucleotides. RefSeq lists it as uncharacterized. NCBI's taxonomy places the organism in Eukaryota, Metazoa, Mollusca, Bivalvia, Ostreida, Ostreidae. The record is from RefSeq and is a predicted model, not a curated record. The transcript is spliced from 4 exons.
CCCGGGAUUUUCAAAAAACCAAUUUAAAUUAAAGAAUUUGUGAUUUUAACUUGAAUGUAAUUUAUUUUGAGUUUUUACAUUAAAAAAAAUGAAAAUGUAGGUGUGUUUCUAACUAUAUAUGAGUUUAGAAGACUCUUUUUUUAAAAUUUGAGACCAAAUAUCACUUCGGGUUUUUAGUGCGAUCAUUUCAAGCGAGCAAAAGUGAAAAUAGAAAAGCAGAAAGUUUCCGGUGAGGAAAAAUACUUCAUUCUAGCAGUGUCCAGCUAUCUAAGAUUAGUUUGCAUUGUAAGGGAAUUGUAUUAGUGUCCGAUAACAUGUAAAUUGAAAUGGAAGUCUUCUUCCAAGAAUAGAACACAACAAUGAGCCACACUUGAUAGUUUUUCAAUACAGACGCAUUUUGCCGGAAAACGAAUCUGACUUCAAACCACGAAAUUUUAACAGGAAAGAGACAAUUUGAUGAGCUUUCAUUCAAGAGGUCCCUCGUUGCUGAACGAAAAUUAGGGCCGGAGCUAUGAACCAUAACGUUAACAUUACCGCCUAUGGAAAAUGCAUUAGUGGACUAUACCCAAGUACAGCACCUGAAUCACAUGUGACUGAAGAAGAUUUGAUGUCCAAACCCUGCAAGAGUGGAAGUGCAAAUGAAUCGGAUGUUACACCACAAGAGUGCUCCUUUGAGAUCGAAGAUGAUGAUGGAACUAAAUUUCUCGCAAGCCCAGUUGCAGCCAAGAAGAC